Molecule: ribosomal RNA, 730 nt
Filed under: uncultured bacterium
Lineage: Bacteria
Description: bacterial SSU rRNA
Rfam family: Bacterial small subunit ribosomal RNA
Source: RNAcentral
AGAGUUUGAUCAUGGCUCAGAUUGAACGCUGGCGGCAUGCUUUACACAUGCAAGUCGAACGGCAGCGGGGGCUUCGGCCUGCCGGCGAGUGGCGAACGGGCGAGUAAUACAUCGGAACGUGUCCUUAAGUGGGGAAUAACGCAUCGAAAGAUGUGCUAAUACCGCAUAUCUCUCAGGAGGAAAGCAGGGGAUCGAAAGACCUUGCGCUAAAGGAGCGGCUGAUGUCUGAUUAGCUAGUUGGUGGGGUAAAGGCUUACCAAGGCAACGAUCAGUAGCUGGUCUGAGAGGACGACCAGCCACACUGGGACUGAGACACGGCCCAGACUCCUACGGGAGGCAGCAGUGGGGAAUUUUGGACAAUGGGCGAAAGCCUGAUCCAGCCAUGCCGCGUGAGUGAAGAAGGCCUUCGGGUUGUAAAGCUCUUUUAGUCGGAAAGAAAGAGUCAUAGUAAAUAGCUAUGAUUUAUGACGGUACCGACAGAAAAAGCACCGGCUAACUACGUGCCAGCAGCCGCGGUAAUACGUAGGGUGCGAGCGUUAAUCGGAAUUACUGGGCGUAAAGGGUGCGCAGGCGGCCUUGUAAGUCAGAUGUGAAAGCCCCGGGCUUAACCUGGGAAUUGCGUUUGAAACUACAAAGCUAGAGUGCAGCAGAGGGGAGUGGAAUUCCAUGUGUAGCAGUGAAAUGCGUAGAGAUGUGGAAGAACACCGAUGGCGAAGGCAGCUCCCUGGGU